RNAcentral lists this ribosomal RNA (694 nucleotides) under Carpias algicola. Its description in RNAcentral is "SSU rRNA". It matches the Rfam family "Eukaryotic small subunit ribosomal RNA", at positions 1185 to 1769 of the family's 1831-position model. Lineage: Eukaryota; Metazoa; Arthropoda; Malacostraca; Isopoda; Janiridae. The record is from RNAcentral.
GCGGCUUAUUUGACUCAACACGGGGAACUCACCAGGCCCGGACAUUGUUUGGACUGACAGAUUAAUAGCUCUUUCUCGAUUCAAUGGGUGGUGGUGCAUGGCCGUUCUUAGUUGGUGGAGCGAUCUGUCUGGUUGAUUCCGAUAACGAACGAGACUCUUACCUACUAACUAGAUGAGGGAGUAAUUCAUUUCCUUUGCGUCUCUGUCGGAUUCGGGCGUCGUCGGCGGGAUGGAAAGCCUCUCACGGGGCCGGUACUCUUUGUCGGCGCGUCUUUUUCGUUCGGAGCGCUUCGGAAAAACUCCCUCCGAUGUAAUGAUCUUCUUAGAGGGAUAGGCGACGCGCCAAGUCGCACGAGAGAACGAGCAAUAACAGGUCUGUGAUGCCCUUAGAUGUUCUGGGCCGCACGCGCGCCACAAUGGAUGUAUCAACGCGCUAAUAUUCAGUUAAUCCUUCUCCGAAAGGAGUGGGGAAUCGCUGAAACGCAUCCUCAGUUGGGAUUGGGGCUUGCAAUUGUUUCCCAUGAACCCGGAAUUCCCAGUAGACGCGAGUCACCAUCUCGCAUUGAUUAAGUCCCUGCCCUUUGUACACACCGCCCGUCGCUACUACCGAUGGGACGAUUCAGUGAGGUCGUCGGACUGGCGCCUUCGCGCCGUAACACGCGCUUAGGCUGACGGAAAGACGCCCGAACUCGAU